This 246-nucleotide ribosomal RNA is filed under the name uncultured Bacillota bacterium. RNAcentral's name for it is "uncultured Firmicutes bacterium partial 16S ribosomal RNA". It matches the Rfam family "Bacterial small subunit ribosomal RNA", at positions 796 to 1041 of the family's 1533-position model. Lineage: Bacteria; Bacillati; Bacillota. The record is from RNAcentral.
CACGCGGUAAACGAUGAAUGCUAGGUGUAGGGGGUAUCGACCCCUCCUGUGCCGGAGUAAACACAAUAAGCAUUCCGCCUGGGGAGUACGGCCGCAAGGUUGAAACUCAAAGGAAUUGACGGGGGCCCGCACAAGCAGCGGAGCAUGUUGUUUAAUUCGAUGCAACGCGAAGAACCUUACCAGGUCUUGACAUUGAUGUAAACCUGUAGAGAUACGGGGUGCCUUCGGGCAACAGAAAACAGGUGG